Molecule: long non-coding RNA, 1206 nt
Organism: Malaclemys terrapin pileata
Lineage: Eukaryota; Metazoa; Chordata; Testudines; Emydidae
Exons: 4
Source: RefSeq, a predicted model, not a curated record
GUUCCCCUCUCCCCCAGCUGCUUCAUUGCCCCGAGGCCCAGCGGCCGGGCUCACGAUCCCCCGGCCGGGCGGAGACGGAGGCUGAAGCCGGGGCGGGCAGAGACAGGCGGGGGAUUCGCCGCCGCUGCAGCUGCAUCACCGGGAGCACCAGGCAGAAGGGGCUGUAGUGGCAUUUAAACCGCCAGUGAUUAAUUCGGCCCGGGCUCUGGGGCGAGAGGCGAUGCUGCUGCUCCCAGCUGGGGAGGCUGUGACAAGUGAAGGUUUGUCUCCCAUGGAGCUAGCGCCCAGCCACAGCUCCGGUGCACACAGAUCACAAAGCGCUUUGCAAAGGAGGUCGGUAUCAUUAUCCCCAUUUUACAGUUGGGGGAAACUGAGGCAUGGAGAAGUAAAGUGACUUCCCCAAAGUUCCUGCUCUGCCUGGGAAAGAAGGAGGGACCCAUGAGGAGGCCAGGCUCAGCCUCUCGCUGCAGUCAGAAUCUCUCCGCUGAUCUAUAAUGCGGAUACCAAUAGCUACCACUGAAGUCAAUAAGAGUUGAUCUGGACCCACUCUGGGGUGUAUCUGGAUUUGUAUAGCCUUGGAGGGAAUGCCUGAACUGGAUUCCUAAACAGCCUGGAAUGGACUAUGAGAGGAGGAACUGGAUAAGAAUCUGAACUGGAUCCCUGUGUCCCUCUGGAAUGGCCUCUGGGUGCAGAACCCUGUUGAGAGGAGACUCAGAAGGGGAUUUCUGUGUCUCAUUGGCUGGAAUGGACUUUGGGUACAAGUCCCUUGGGUGCUUUUUCACCCCUUCUGCUCCUGUAAGUGUUUGUGCAGUUUCCUACCCCAUUCCCAUGCUACUUGUGUGCAGGCACAUACUAUAAUGCUGUCCAGUGAGGAUUAGAGCUGUUGUUAGAACCUUAGACCAGUGGUUCUCAAACGUUUUUUUCCACAGCCCACUUGAAAAUUGCUGAGGGUCUCGGCAGCCCACUUAAUGAUCUUUCCAAAUGUUGUUUGUACUGUUAGCUAACUACUGUAAAGCGCUUUGGAUAAAAGCGCUAUAUAAAAAAAAAUAACAUUUUUCGUUCUACAAAUAAAAGUAUACAACUCGUAUUUAAAUAUAUAUAUAUAUCAGUAGUCUUACCUUUCUAAUGUGAUGGAUGUGCCCUCUCUCCCCCGCCACAGUAGCCCCCGAGCUGAGGCUGGGAAGGAGGGGGGUGUCUCUCCCCGGC